GUGGGGGAUAUUGCACAAUGGGGGAAACCCUGAUGCAGCGACGCCGCGUGAAGGAAGACGUACUUCGGUAUGUAAACUUCUAUCAGCAGGGAAGAAGAUGACGGUACCUGACUAAGAAGCCCCGGCUAACUACGUGCCAGCAGCCGCGGUAAUACGUAGGGGGCAAGCGUUAUCCGGAUUUACUGGGUGUAAAGGGAGCGUAGACGGUGAAGCAAGUCUGAUGUGAAAACCCGGGGCUCAACUCCGGGAUUGCAUUGGAAACUGUUUUACUGGAGUGCUGGAGGGGCAAGCGGAAUUCCUGGUGUAGCGGUGAAAUGCGUAGAUAUCAGGAAGAACACCGGUGGCGAAGGCGGCUUGCUGGACAGUAACUGACGUUGAGGCUCGAAAGCGUGGGGAGCAAACAGGAUUAGAUACCCGGGUAGUCC
This 425-nucleotide ribosomal RNA is filed under the name uncultured bacterium. RNAcentral's name for it is "partial 16S ribosomal RNA". It matches the Rfam family "Bacterial small subunit ribosomal RNA", at positions 354 to 796 of the family's 1533-position model. The record is from RNAcentral.